AAGAUGGGAGUCUCACUCUGUCGCCCAGGCUGGAGUUCAGUGACGCAAUCUCGGCUCACCACAACCUCCGUCUCCCAGGUUUAAGCGAUUCUCCUGCCUCAGCCUCCCGAGUAGCUGGGAUUACAGACGCCCACCACCAUGUCUGGCUAAUUUUUGUAUUUUUAGUAGAAAGGAGGUUUCACCACAUUGGCCAGGCUGGUCUUGAACUCCUGACCUCAAGUGAUCCACCUGCCUCAGCCUCCCAAAGUGCUGGGAUUACAGGCAUGAGCCACCACACCCAGUCCUGAAAUUAACAUUUGAGACAGUGGACUGGGAGAGGCAGACCCACCCUCAAUCUGGGUGGGCACCAUCUGCCCACCCAGCUGCCAGCACAGCUAGGAUAAAAGCAGGCAGAGGAACGUGGAAGGACUAGACUGGCUGACUCUUCCAGCCUUCAUCUUUCUCCUGUGCUGGAUGCUUCCUGCCUUCGAACAUUGGACUCCAAGUUCUUCAGCUUUUCGACUCUUGGACUUACACCAGUGGUUUGUCAGGGGCUCUCCAGCCAUCAGCCACAGACUGAAGGCUGCACUGUUGGCUUCCCUACUUUUGAGGUGUUGGGACUCGGACUGGCUUCCUUGCUCCUCAGCUUGCAGACGGCCUAUUGUGGGACUUCAUCUUAUGAUCGUCUCUUCUGGGUGAAAGAGCUCCUACAGUGAUGGCUGACUUCAACACUGCUUGGGAGAGGCCUGGCACCCAUAACAUCUGAGACAUCUCUACCAACUGGGAUCUCCUUUCAAGUUCAGUCAAAAACAGUCAAAGUUGGCCCUGUUCUUCCAACAACCCAUGUCUGAUGCAGUCUCAAAUCUUUUUCUAAAUAAGGCAGGGAUAAGAAAGACAGGCAAAUGGAUCCUCAUCCAGAAAUGGAUUCUAGAACUAAACCUGUAUCACCCCAGUUGCAGAUUUCACAAGAAUAUGGUCCUGCCUGGUCCUGUUGGGUUUGAUGGGGUUCAAAACAUGCUACCCCAAAAUAUGGCACCUUGGCAUAUUGAAUAUUUUAAGCUGAAGGAAUUUGAGAAGCAGCCAUUGCAGGAAGGACUCUCUAACCUCCCCUUUCUCGCCAGAGCACGUCAUAAGACCCUCACAGAAGAGGUGCCCUCCCUAUAACUGGAGGAAGGGAGCAUCCUUAUGUCAGAAGACGGAAGGAUGCUGAGAGGAAUUUGAGGGAAUGGGCCUUGCUAUGUUUCCUCCAGUUUACUAUCCUUAGUUCAUAUCCUUUGUCCUAUCACAUUUUCCCACAACACUCCACUCUUCAUUAAAUCAAAUAUAAAAGUGCUCAGGCUUAACCUGAACUGGCUUAACCUCAAGCUAACCAUUCUUUGGGUCUUCCUUUCCUUAUGAAGGCUCCUAUGUCAUGUAAAACUUAUAUUAAAUAAAUGUGUUUGCUCUUCUCAUGUUAA
This is a long non-coding RNA of Homo sapiens (human), 1436 nucleotides long. RefSeq lists it as uncharacterized. Lineage: Eukaryota; Metazoa; Chordata; Mammalia; Primates; Hominidae. The transcript is spliced from 2 exons. The record is from RefSeq and is a predicted model, not a curated record.